Molecule: transfer RNA, 78 nt
Filed under: Sinorhizobium phage phiN3
Lineage: Duplodnaviria; Heunggongvirae; Uroviricota; Caudoviricetes
Description: tRNA-OTHER
Rfam family: tRNA
About the family: Transfer RNA (tRNA) molecules are approximately 80 nucleotides in length. Their secondary structure includes four short double-helical elements and three loops (D, anti-codon, and T loops).
Source: RNAcentral
GCGGGAUUAGCUCAGUUGGUUUAGAGCGGCGAAUUUUAACCUCGCAUGUCGUCGGUUCGAACCCGACAUCCCGCACCA